RNAcentral lists this ribosomal RNA (604 nucleotides) under uncultured bacterium. Its description in RNAcentral is "bacterial SSU rRNA". It matches the Rfam family "Bacterial small subunit ribosomal RNA", at positions 888 to 1498 of the family's 1533-position model. The record is from RNAcentral.
GCAAGAUUAAAACUCAAAGGAAUAGACGGGGACCCGCACAAGUGGUGGAGCAUGUGGUUUAAUUCGAAGAUACGCGAAGAACCUUACCUAGCCUUGACAUAUUUUAGAACUCAGCAGAGAUGCAGAGGUGCCUUCGGGAGCUAAUUUACAGGUGCUGCACGGCUGUCGUCAGCUCGUGUCGUGAGAUGUUGGGUUAAGUCCCGCAACGAGCGCAACCCUCGUCACUAGUUACUAACGGUUCGGCCGAGGACUCUAGUGAGACUGCCUUCGUAAGGAGGAGGAAGGUGAGGACGACGUCAAGUCAUCAUGGCCCUUACGGCUAGGGCAACACACGUGCUACAAUGGCCAGGACAGUGAGACGCAAUACCGCGAGGUGGAGCAAAUCUAUAAACCUGGUCUCAGUUCGGAUUGUUCUCUGCAACUCGAGAACAUGAAGCUGGAACCACUAGUAAUCGUAGAUCAGCUAUGCUACGGUGAAUACGUUCCCGGGUCUUGUACUCACCGCCCGUCACACCAUGGGAGUUGAUUUCACCCGAAGCGGGGAAGCUAAACUGGCUACCCUCCACGGUGGAAUUAGCGACUGGGGUGAAGUCGUAACAAGGUA